This 808-nucleotide ribosomal RNA is filed under the name uncultured bacterium. RNAcentral's name for it is "bacterial SSU rRNA". It matches the Rfam family "Bacterial small subunit ribosomal RNA", at positions 8 to 796 of the family's 1533-position model. The record is from RNAcentral.
AGAGUUUGAUCAUGGCUCAGGAUGAACGCUGGCGGCGUGCCUAAUACAUGCAAGUCGAGCGAAUGGAUUGAGAGCUUGCUCUCAAGAAGUUAGCGGCGGUCGGUUGAGUAACACGUGGGUAACCUGCCCAUAAGACUGGGAUAACUCCGGGAAACCGGGGCUAAUACCGGAUAACAUUUUGAACUGCAUGGUUCGAAAUUGAAAGGCGGCUUCGGCUGUCACUUAUGGAUGGACCCGCGUCGCAUUAGCUAGUUGGUGAGGUAACGGCUCACCAAGGCAACGAUGCGUAGCCGACCUGAGAGGGUGAUCGGCCACACUGGGACUGAGACACGGCCCAGACUCCUACGGGAGGCAGCAGUAGGGAAUCUUCCGCAAUGGACGAAAGUCUGACGGAGCAACGCCGCGUGAGUGAUGAAGGCUUUCGGGUCGUAAAACUCUGUUGUUAGGGAAGAACAAGUGCUAGUUGAAUAAGCUGGCACCUUGACGGUACCUAACCAGAAAGCCACGGCUAACUACGUGCCAGCAGCCGCGGUAAUACGUAGGUGGCAAGCGUUAUCCGGAAUUAUUGGGCGUAAAGCGCGCGCAGGUGGUUUCUUAAGUCUGAUGUGAAAGCCCACGGCUCAACCGUGGAGGGUCAUUGGAAACUGGGAGACUUGAGUGCAGAAGAGGAAAGUGGAAUUCCAUGUGUAGCGGUGAAAUGCGUAGAGAUAUGGAGGAACACCAGUGGCGAAGGCGACUUUCUGGUCUGUAACUGACACUGAGGCGCGAAAGCGUGGGGAGCAAACAGGAUUAGAUACCCCAGUAGUCC